CCGCAGUCCUCUACCCCUGCAUGGCGUAGGACUGUGGGCCCCAGCGCGCUUGGAAUAAAAAUCCUCUUGCUGUUUGCAUCAAGACUGCUUCUCGUGAGUGAUUUAGGGUGUCGCCUCUUUUGAGUCCGGAUGAGGGGGAUUUUCCUUCUACUGGUCUUUCACUGUCAAGGCCAUCUUCACCUUGAGGUCCUCCCUCUGCCCACACUGGCCAAAACUCCUACUCUGAGAAAUCUUUUGGCAGAAGGCGAAAAGUGGCAUCUGAGAUGUUGUGACACCUCUACCAGCAUAUGGGGCCACAGCAACUCAGAACCAAGCCGCAUCUGAGACCUAUACCACAGCUCAUGGCAACGCCAGAUCCUUAACCUGGUGAGUGAAGCCAGGGAUCGAACCCACAACAUCAUGGUUCCUAGUCGGAUUCUUUAACCACUGAGCCACGAUGGGAACUCCUCCUUUCUACCUUUUUAUCAGGACAUUUUCUCUUAUAGUAUGAGGAAUGGCAUUGCAUUUUCUUAAGGGAAAGAGAGUGAUUUUUAUCCCAGAGGUGGCUGCUUCUGAAUGGAGGAAGAAAAAGGCAAAAUAAUAUGGACACAGAAACUUGUAAUUUGUGGAAAAGGAAAUUUAGUUGGGUAAUGGAUUUUGUUAGGAAUGGGCCGAGGCAAGUUGUGGAAUUGGUUUCUCCCUCCAAAGUUUUCUUGAAAUGCUGCUUUUGAUAACAGAUUCUGUGAUUUUUUUUUGCCUUUAAGUUACCUGUCAUUGCUUUUGAGAUCUCUAGUAGCUUUGAUUAAGGAAUACAUAUUGUCUCACAGUGACCUAUGAUAUUUGACCAAGUGUUUUGAAACUUUGAUGAACUUCCCAAAUAUCAAAUUUUAAUUAAAGUAUUUUUGACUUCCAGCUAACUUUGGGAUUCUUCAAGGAAACCAGGAAGCAUCUCAGAUACUAAAUUAACUAGGAUUAUUAAUAUGUUAAAUUACAUGGAGAGCAUUAUCAGAAGAACAAUAAACCCACUUAGGUUACACUGUGGGUAAAUGUUAGUAUAGACAUUCUAGAAAUUAUAUGAAAUUUCUAAAAUUUGGAUAUAUCCUGGUAUAUAAGAUUAUCAGUCAUAAUUCUUGUUGUAACCAACUUUUUUAAUCAAUUACAUUUUAAUCAGAUGUUUAACCAUACCUUUUAAUUUUUUCUGUCAUUGCUGUACUCUGAUGCUUUUGCAAAAUUGCUUCGUCUUCAGGGAUAGUCAUAGGAAAGCUAUGGAAAUUGUUACAACAGUUCCACAUCAAGAUGAUGGCUACCUGAGGAACCAGUCCAUCCAACUUAAAACAAGAAGCUGUACUGUCUCUGGGGUGCUUAGAUCAGGUAUCCGGAGGUUUUUACUCCCUGACAGAUAGGGUUGAUGUCACUAGUCAAACUUGAAGCAGUUUAAGAAAAAGAUAUACCAUCUGCCCUCUGCUUCCUGUAAGAAUAUGGGAAUAAAAUAUCUGAGGGGGGAAUGCAAUAGGAAGGAAGGGGGCAGGGCCCAACCUUUAAAAAGAAUAACAUUGUCCUUGAGGAAUAUGACAAAAACUGGUUAGAACCAACUAGGUGCCAAGAUGGCAGAUGAUUUGACUUCUAGUAUAUCUUGAGCCUUAUUAUAUGCUCAUUGCAAUGCAUUAGCAUACUAAAUGGCACACCAUGACAGCUCUGAGUAUAAAUAUUUUUUAAAUAGACAUUAUAGAAAUAAAUAAGUUUUCUGAAAUUUGGGUAUGCCCUGGUAUUAUUUUAUAAUUUUAGUUAUCUUAAAACGUAUGUCACAGCAACUUGGUUAAGCUUCUUCAUCAAGAGCAUUGUAAUCAGAUCUUUAACCUUGCCUUUUAAAGACUUUUUGUCACUCAUAGACAGUUAAAACCAAUACUUGCAAAAGUGCUUCAUCUUCAAGAAAGUUCACAAGUACAGGUCUUUGUUAUAGUUCAGACAAUACCAUUGAACUGGGUUAAAUAUGUAUGUAAAAGAUACUGAUGAUUUCAAAAAGCAGAUAACAAAGGAUUACUGAGUGAACUGGUGAAUGUGGAUAUAAAUGUUUAUGGUUUAUUUUGAAUGGAGUAUUACUGGUUUUGAUAUGUGUUUUCCAGACAUAGAGAAGCCCUUCUCCUCAAGAUACUUAUGACUUAAGAGUGAUUGAACAAAUUACUCCUCUGUGGAUAAAAUUGAAAUAUUUUUCUUCUCUCUUCCUGUUUCCCCCAGAAAUUAGAGACUCUUGGGUUCUGAGCAGGCUUAUCAGGUGAAUAGGAAAGACUGCUUCCCGGCAUGUGUAGGAUUCUUGAUAUUUUGGGAACUUCUAGAAAAGAAUUCAGUCUGAGACUCCUGAGGAAUUACACCAGAUCGGUGUAACAGGCCUAUGUAGUCAAUGGAGCAGACUUGUUUUGGAAACAAAUUAGACUUGUUUGUCUGUGUUCAAUGGAGAUGAGGGUAAUUUUAGAGAAAAAGAUUAUGCUUCAAUAGAUAUGAAAUUCUAGUUAUGUUCAUUGAAGUCUGUAUCUAUGAAAGUUAUUGUGUUAGCCACAAUUUUGGCCUGAUGUUCAGGAUGAAAAGAAAAUUAUGAAAAGUAGAAUUAUCUUGUGGAAUUAUCACAGAAUAACUACUCAUGACAUAUCACCGACUGCUUUGGGUCCACUGCUAAAAGCAUAUGUACAAUGUUUGUGUGACAAGUGGGUAUAAGUGAUAAAAUGUAUGGCCUAUAAAGUGUUUCUUCAUUAAUGUGCUUCUGAGCUUAUUCAUGAUACCUGAUCAGUUUUCCCCAAAUGUGGACUAACUAGGCAAAUACAUAGGAAGCCUAGAAUUGAGGGACAUGAUCUACAUCUGGGACAAACAGCUGAAUCACCCUGGCAUUGAAGGGAAGAUUUUUUUAAGGGCCAUGGGCCACACCUGUGGUAUAUGGAAGUUUCUAGGAUAGGGGUCAAAACAGAGCUGCAGCUGCUGGCCUAUACUUUAGCCACAACAACACCAGAUCCAAACCACACCUGUGACAUACACCACAGCUCACCACAAUGGUAUAUCCUUAACCCACUGAGCAGGGACAGGGAUUGAACCUUCAUUGUCAUGGUGCUAGCUGGGUUCAUUACUGCUGAGCCACAACAGGAAUUCCUCAGAUGUUUUGAUUAUCAAUGCUUUCUAUUGAAGGACUUACAAUUGAAAGGAGAAAUGAUGGAAAAUCUGCAUGUAUUGAGGUAUGAGGAAGUCACUCUGGCUUAACUUAAAUUUUGCUAACCAGAGGCAUGCUUUGUGGCUUUCCAGACAUGUAUUGUACAUCUGCUCUGGCCAUUUUGGAUUUCAAACACAUUUCAUUAUUGCUGAGCUAUGUCAGAUGCCACUAGCCAUUCUCAAAGCAGUGUCUUCUUGCAGCUGGUAGCUGCACCUUAUGGAUUCAAAGUAUCCUCUUGUAACUGUUCAAUUUUUAGACAAUGAAAUUUCUUUAGAUCAGAUAUUCACAGAAAGAGGAGACAUGUAGUGGCCAAUAGCUCCUGUUAUGAGUAUGUUAAUGCUGCAUCAGAAGUUAAAACCUACUUAGGUAAAACUUGAUAACUGUCCACAGCAAGUCUCCCCAAAGUGCCAGUUCCAGACUGGGUUUCAGGCUUAUUCUCAUGAAUUCCUUAGGGAAUCAGAUCUAUUUUGUCUAUUAAAGUUCUAGUUGUCAUUCCUACCUCUAACUAGUUCUAUUGCACAGAGAUUGUGGACUUAGGGAUUGAGAUCUUAAUCAUUAAUCCAGGGUUUGUAACUCAGGGAUAUUUCUAAUUUGGUGUCCAAUCCCCCAAACUGAAGUAGGACUAUGCACCAUUUCAGCAGGAAUUAGCCAGAGCAGUCGUCACCCCUUUCCCUAAAAGACUUGGGGAAAGAUAAAACAGAAAUGAGGAUUUAAAACCAAAUCCCCCUAAAACCAAGUUCUGAAAGGAUGAAAAUGCAACCUAACCCUCCCAGAACCCAGGAAGUUAAUAAAAAGCUCUAAAUGCCCCCGAAUUCCAGACCCUGUUCCCUGCCAGUAAAUAGGUAGAAGGUCACACUUCUUAUUGUUCCAGGGCCUGCUAUCCUGGCCUAAGUAAGAUAACAGGAAAUGAGUUGACUAAUCGCUUAUCUGGAUUCUGUAAAACUGACUGGCACCAUAGAAGAAUUGAUUACACAUUGAAAGCCCUAGUGACCUAUCUCAACUGCAAUCUGUCACUCUGCCCAGGAGCCCGCGCAGAUGCGGACCUCCGGAGCUGUUUUAAAAUGAUUGGUCCACGGAGCGCGGGCUCUCGAUAUUUCAAAAUGAUUGGUCCACGGAGCGCGGGCUCUCGAUAUUUUAAAAUGAUUGGUUUGCGACGCACAAGCUUUGUUGUGAACCCCAUAAAAGCUGUCCUGAUUCCGCACUCGGGGCCGCAGUCCUCUACCCCUGCGUGGCAUACGACUGUGAGCCCCAGCGCGCUUGGAAUAAAAAUCCUCUUGCUGUUUGCAUCAAGACUGCUUCUCGUGAGUGAUUUAGGGUGUCGCCUCUUCUGAGCCCGACGAGGGGGAUUGUUCUUUUACUGGCCUUUCAGUUCCUCUGCUGAGUUUAUGAUUAAUGUCUUUAUUCAAAAAAAAAGUAUUCCCUUUCCUGUCCAAUACCUAUUCUCCUCGAGUUUGAGGAGUAUCAAAGAAAAUGGGGGAAUGAAACCAGGCAGGGCCCUGUGGAGCUCCUGGGCACAAGCCUUUCCAAGUCCCCUGUUUCUUGGUUUUAGGAAAUAAGUUUCAACCUCCAUGACCUUACCUGAGUUCCAAAGGGCAGUUUCAAACAUUUGCUGAUCAGGGAAGGGAGGGGAUGCAGAAACCAGAAAGGAGCAGUCAAUAAAAAAUACUGAAGCCUUAGGACAGGGUCCUGGUUCUUUUGCAAGGAAUAGACAUAACAAUAUUUUUUAGUUCUGAAGAACUAAAACCCCCAACAAGUGAAAACUAGAGAGGAGAACCACUAGAGCCAGUCCUGGGGCCACUAAACACCAACUUUGAAGAAUAAUGAAAGCUUACAUCUACCCUGAUCAUUAUCUGUGGCCCUAUUUUUCACUCCUAAACUAUAAAAACACUGCUUAAUUUCUCCCAAGGUAGGGCACAGUCUUCAGAGCAUUAGCCUGCUGUGGCCUCCUUCACCUGGCAAAGCACUAAAGCUAUUUUUUUUUCUCCUCACCCUAAAACUCUGUCUCUGUGUUUCUGUUCAACACCGGUGGACAGAGGCCAAAUUUUGGCAACAUGAGCUAGUCCAGGGAUCAAACAUGCAUCCUCAUAGACAUUAUAUCAGGUUCUUAACCUGCUGAGCCACAACGGGAACUCCAAGAAAUUUUUUUUAAAUAUAAGUGUUGUAUUUAUAUAAACCUAGCUAUGGUGUUAAUUGGAGAAUGGCUUUGAUUCAGGAAAGAUGUUAGGCCAGUGAUGAAUAAAAUUUAUAUUUUAAGGCAAAUGAGAAAAAAAUUUCUCUGUGUUUGUUUUGGCCUUCUCCCUCCCCCCCCACCAUGUGGUGUGUGCAUCGGCAUCACAUAUUAACCAGAGCUUCUCAAAGAUGGGAAUGCCUGCUCAACCAUAAAGAUCAGUUUUUUUUUCUUUUUUCUGAUGCUAGUACUGUAACUUUUUAAAGAAUAGUGUUCUUUCCCAGCUCUGUAGUGGGUCAUGGUUAUUUGUUGCUUGCUUUGUAUGUGCUGACCUGGACUAUGUAUCCUUGUUGCUUGCUUUGUAUGUGCUGACCUGGACUAUGUAUCCUUGGUGACCUGUAUGUAAAAUAUAUCAUUUUGAUAUAUGAUCUCUUGUCUAAAAAAUGUAUAUGACUAUGUCUUCAACUUCUAAUAGGUGAAACAGUAGUCAGAGAUUUCUGAGAAUCUGCUUCCAGGGUUACAAUUCUCAGUUUAGCUGAAAUAAAAUUCCCUUUCUUUUCUUAAC
This 5904-nucleotide long non-coding RNA is filed under the name Sus scrofa (pig). RNAcentral's name for it is "lncRNA (ENSSSCG00000049683.2)". Lineage: Eukaryota; Metazoa; Chordata; Mammalia; Artiodactyla; Suidae. The record is from RNAcentral.